GACGAACGCUGGCGGCGUGCUUAACACAUGCAAGUCGAACGGUAAGGCCUUUCGUGGUACACGAGUGGCGAACGGGUGAGUAACACGUGGGUGAUCUGCCCUGCACUUCGGGAUAAGCCCGGGAUACUGGGACUAAUACCGGAUAGGACUGCGCGGUGCAUGCCGUGUGGUGGAAAGAUUUAUCGGUGCAGGAUGGGCCCGCGGCCUAUCAGCUUGUUGGUGGGGUAAUGGCCUACCAAGGCGACGACGGGUAGCCGGCCUGAGAGGGCGACCGGCCACACUGGGACUGAGACACGGCCCAGACUCCUACGGGAGGCAGCAGUGGGGAAUAUUGCACAAUGGGCGGAAGCCUGAUGCAGCGACGCCGCGUGAGGGAUGACGGCCUUCGGGUUGUAAACCUCUUUCAGCAGGGACGAAGCGUGAGUGACGGUACCUGCAGAAGAAGCACCGGCCAACUACGUG
This 462-nucleotide ribosomal RNA is filed under the name uncultured bacterium. RNAcentral's name for it is "partial 16S ribosomal RNA". It matches the Rfam family "Bacterial small subunit ribosomal RNA", at positions 28 to 507 of the family's 1533-position model. The record is from RNAcentral.